This 568-nucleotide ribosomal RNA is filed under the name uncultured bacterium. RNAcentral's name for it is "bacterial SSU rRNA". It matches the Rfam family "Bacterial small subunit ribosomal RNA", at positions 922 to 1482 of the family's 1533-position model. The record is from RNAcentral.
CGCACAAGCGGUGGAGCAUGUGGUUUAAUUCGACGCAACGCGCAGAACCUUACCAGCCCUUGACAUACCAAUCGCGAUUUCCAGAGAUGGAUUUCUUCAGUUCGGCUGGAUUGGAUACAGGUGCUGCAUGGCUGUCGUCAGCUCGUGUCGUGAGAUGUUGGGUUAAGUCCCGCAACGAGCGCAACCCCCGCCUUCAGUUACCAUCAUUUAGUUGGGUACUCUGGAGGGACUGCCGGUGAUAAGCCGGAGGAAGGUGGGGAUGACGUCAAGUCCUCAUGGCCCUUAUGGGCUGGGCUACACACGUGCUACAAUGGCGAUGACAGAGAGUUGCGACACAGCGAUGUGGAGCUAAUCUCGAAAAAUCGUCUCAGUUCGGAUUGUUCUCUGCAACUCGAGAGCAUGAAGGUGGAAUCGCUAGCAAUCGCAGAUCAGCAUGCUGCGGUGAAUACGUUCCCGGGCCUUGUACACACCGCCCGUCACACCAUGGGAGUUGGUUUUACCCGAAGGUAGUGGGCUAACCUAGUUUACUAGGAGGCAGCUAACCACGGUAGGGUCAGCGACUGGGGUG